ACGUAGGUGACAAGCGUUGUCCGGAUUUACUGGGCGUAAAGAGCGUGCAGGCGGUCGAUCAAGUCGAGUGUGAAAGCCCCCGGCUCAACUGGGGAGGGUCAUUCGAUACUGAUCGACUCGAAGGCAGGAGAGGGUAGUGGAAUUCCCGGUGUAGUGGUGAAAUGCGUAGAUAUCGGGAGGAACACCAGUGGCGAAGGCGACUACCUGGACCAGCACUGACACUGAGGCACGAAAGCGUGGGGAGCAAACAGGA
Molecule: ribosomal RNA, 253 nt
Filed under: uncultured prokaryote
Description: partial 16S ribosomal RNA
Rfam family: Bacterial small subunit ribosomal RNA
Source: RNAcentral